UGGCCUUGACACAACCUUUCCCCGCCC
This 27-nucleotide non-coding RNA is filed under the name Mus musculus (house mouse). The record is from RNAcentral. Lineage: Eukaryota; Metazoa; Chordata; Mammalia; Rodentia; Muridae.